AUGAGACGUGAUGAUGUUUAUCCAUCGAUUCUGUACUUGAAUGAAGAAUAAGAACAUGCACUACCAUCUGAUCUCUU
This is a non-coding RNA of Cicer arietinum (chickpea), 77 nucleotides long. NCBI's taxonomy places the organism in Eukaryota, Viridiplantae, Streptophyta, Magnoliopsida, Fabales, Fabaceae. The record is from Rfam.